This 1038-nucleotide ribosomal RNA is filed under the name Enterococcus hirae. RNAcentral's name for it is "partial 23S ribosomal RNA". It matches the Rfam family "Bacterial large subunit ribosomal RNA", at positions 332 to 1373 of the family's 2925-position model. The record is from RNAcentral. Lineage: Bacteria; Bacillati; Bacillota; Bacilli; Lactobacillales; Enterococcaceae.
GUCGAAUGACUUGGAAAAGUCAGUCAAAGAGGGUAAAAACCCCGUAGAUGAAAUUUGGAAGGCACCUAGGAGGAUCCUGAGUACGGCGGAACACGAGGAAUUCCGUCGGAAUCCGGGAGGACCAUCUCCCAAGGCUAAAUACUCCCUAGUGACCGAUAGUGAACCAGUACCGUGAGGGAAAGGUGAAAAGCACCCCGGAAGGGGAGUGAAAUAGAACCUGAAACCGUGUGCCUACAACAAGUCAAAGCCCGUUAAUGGGUGAUGGCGUGCCUUUUGUAGAAUGAACCGGCGAGUUACGAUUGCAUGCGAGGUUAAGUUGAAGAGACGGAGCCGCAGCGAAAGCGAGUCUGAAUAGGGCGUUUGAGUAUGUAGUCGUAGACCCGAAACCAUGUGAUCUACCCAUGUCCAGGUUGAAGGUGCGGUAAAACGCACUGGAGGACCGAACCCACGUACGUUGAAAAGUGCGGGGAUGAGGUGUGGGUAGCGGAGAAAUUCCAAACGAACUUGGAGAUAGCUGGUUCUCUCCGAAAUAGCUUUAGGGCUAGCCUCGGAAUUGAGAAUGAUGGAGGUAGAGCACUGUUUGGACUAGGGGCCCAUCUCGGGUUACCGAAUUCAGAUAAACUCCGAAUGCCAUUCAUUCAUAUCCGGGAGUCAGACUGUGAGUGAUAAGAUCCAUAGUCGAAAGGGAAACAGCCCAGACCACCAGCUAAGGUCCCAAAAUAUAUGUUAAGUGGAAAAGGAUGUGGGGUUGCACAGACAACUAGGAUGUUGGCUUAGAAGCAGCCACCAUUUAAAGAGUGCGUAAUAGCUCACUAGUCGAGUGACCCUGCGCCGAAAAUGUACCGGGGCUAAACAUAUUACCGAAGCUGUGGAGUACACCUUUAGGUGUAUUGGUAGGAGAGCGUUCUAAGGGCGUUGAAGGCAGAUCGUGAGGACUGCUGGAGCGCUUAGAAGUGAGAAUGCCGGUAUGAGUAGCGAAAGACAGGUGAGAAUCCUGUCCACCGAAUGACUAAGGUUUCCUGGGGAAGGCUCGUCCGC